RNAcentral lists this long non-coding RNA (209 nucleotides) under Lathyrus oleraceus (garden pea). Its description in RNAcentral is "Pisum sativum (pea) long non-coding RNA (PSAT_LNC035617)". Lineage: Eukaryota; Viridiplantae; Streptophyta; Magnoliopsida; Fabales; Fabaceae. The record is from RNAcentral.
UUUUGAGUCAUCAUUUUUAGAGUACCUUGAUUGUUUCCGGAAGUUUACCAAGUUCUUCUCGGAAUGUUGGAUGUCGUUCUUUCUCACGUAACGAUUGUAACGUUUAACGAACAACCCCAUAUCUUCGCUCUUGUCCUCUUCUUCUUCGUCGCUCGAGGAAUAAUCACUUUGCUCUUUUUCUUGAGACUUCGAGGAGGAAGUCUUAAGAG